Molecule: long non-coding RNA, 2013 nt
Filed under: Cyanistes caeruleus (blue tit)
Lineage: Eukaryota; Metazoa; Chordata; Aves; Passeriformes; Paridae
Description: lncRNA (ENSCCEG00000010165.1)
Source: RNAcentral
GAGCAGGCUCCUGGCAGGAGCUGUGGCCUCGUGGAGAGAGGAGCCUGUGUUGGAGCAGGUUUGCUGGCAGGACUGGUGACCUCUCGAGGGACAAUGUGAUCCUGAUGGACUUCACUCUGCAGGAGUGGCCAUCACCGGGGCAGUUUGUGAAGAACUGCAGCCUGUGGGAAAGAGCAGGGGAAGAGUGACAGGAGUCUUUAACCUGGGGAGAAAGGAGCAGCAGGGACAACAUGUGUUGGACUGAUCACAUCCCACAUUCUCAUUUCUCUGCCCUGUGGUGGGGUAAGAGGGAGAGAAAAUUGGGAGUAAAGUUGAGCUCUGGAAGAAAGGGUGGGAGGAAGGUGUUUUUUAAAAUUUGUUUCUAUUUCUUAUUACCUAAUCUGAUCUAAUUGUUGUCAAACUAAACUAAUUUCCCCAAGGCAAAUGUGUUUUGCUAAUGGUGGUAACGAAUGAGUGCACCCUCCAUGUUAUUUAUCUUAAUCCAUGAGCCUUUCAUUAUGUUUUCUCGUCCCUUCUGUGUUGAGGAAGGGAGUGAGAGGCUUUGGUGGACACUUGGUAUCCAGAUAGGGUCAACCCAGCACAAUAAUCUAGCCCUUCUCUUCUGCCCUUUCAAAUUCUCUGUGAUUUUCAAAUCGGUGCCUGCUUGAUAUUAAAUGUUCUGACACCUGAGACUUUAAAGAUAUUUUAGUGCCAAAUUCAAAGAAAUGAAAGUGAUUUUCCCAAACUCAGUUUUUUUGUUGAGAAUGCUAAAUGUUAAUUUUCUAUAUUUCACCUGUCUCUUUAGGCUGCCUGAGUCACUGGCUGCAGCUUACUAUCACUUACCUGUUCAAGUAAGGGAACAAGAUACUAGGGAGCGAGGGCAUAGGGUGUACCAUGAUGUCAAGUUUCAGGAGUGCUGUCUGCUGAGGUGCUCCAUGACCAGAGUGGCCAGAAAUGGACUCCAACAGUAGGGUGUAGGAGCACCCAAAGAUGCUGUCAGGACAUGCGGGACCCAAGACGUGAUACAGAUUUUUGACUCUUCCAAGGAGCUUCAGCUGAAAAUCAAACUCAAGUCCUCAGUUAGUAUAGAAGUUGUAAUGCUGCAGUUUGUGUCUCUGAUGAACUUACAGGUAUCACUGGAGGAAUGAGUUCAAGUAAAUGUAACUUCAUAUACACAAAACCAGCUCAGCCACUUUCAGACAGAAAUAGCACUGCCUCAGCAGUACAUCACAUCAGUGUUCUGCUAUCUAGAAUGGACUAAUUUUAUAAAAGGUUGUCAUAAAAAUUAUACAGGUGCUAUUGUUUCCAUCUGUGAUUCACUUAAGUGGCAAGCAGUCUGAUUCAUCUGUUCAUGUCAACAGAAAGAUUUGCAAUGACUUCAAAAAGAAUUGGAAUAAGCACCAACUCAAGCAAACCAGAGGCUGGCUAUAUGUUCAAAUCUUGGCUGUGUACUUUUAAAACAAGGUAAUGUCACCCUAGUUUUCACCUGCAACUGAGCUAGGCUGGCAGAACAUGGAGGUGUUUAAACUUUAUUUGUAUCUGUGGACAUCCGUAUCUCUGUAUACAAUCCUUUAAUGUUUUCUUCAAACUAAAUUACUCUGAAAUUUCCCAGGAUGUCUCAGUGAGGUAUCAAGUAUUUUUAGGUAUGUACAUAAUCCAGUCAUGUUUCCAGCAAUGUUCUGCCAACCUCUUUUCCAUGAAGGGGUAUUCUUGUGGUGACCAUAUUCUCUCAGAUGCUUCCCUGUCCAAAGUGUCUAAAAAUUAAAGUGUUAGGAGAGGCAAACUUGUACCCUUUCUUCUCAUGGAAAGCUGUGAUGUAUGCAAGCACUAAUUACUAAAAGUGCACAGAAAUUGGAAUAAUAGGAACUACAGAAAUUCCUUUCUGCCUGGAGGUUUCUUCUCUUCAGAGACGAAUUUGACUAAUCCAGAAAGUUUCAUGCUGGCAAAUGAGACUAGAGCUAGAGCCCUCCUCUCAUGGUGGCUGAUGCUUGUAUCUGGAAUAAAAUGGCAGUUCAUUGGUUCUAAGGGCUGUUG